UUGCAGUUAAAAAGCUCGUAGUCGGAUGUCAGUAUGAGGCCCUUCUUCCAAUAUGGUUGCUAGUGGUCUUUACUUCCUUAACAGAAUCUUUCAUCUCAUUAAUUUGGGGUGUUUGGGGCCUGUUUCUUUUACUUUGAGAAAAUUAGAGUGUUCAAAGCGGGUUUUCGCCUGGAUAUUACUCUUGGAAUAAUAAUAUAGGACUUUGGUUCUUUUUUGUUGGUGACUUAGAACCGAAGUAAUGAUUGAUAGGGACAGUUGGGGUCAUUCGUACUAUGAAGCGAGAGGUGAAAUUCUUGAACCUUUGUAUGACGAACUACUGCGAAAGCAUUUGACUAGGAUGUUCCCGUUGAUCAAGAACGAAAGUUGGGGGAUCGAAGACGAUCAGAUACCGUCGUAGUCUCAACCAUAAACUAUGCCAGCUAGGGAUUGGAGGAAGAUCAUUUUACGUCUCCUUCAGCACCUUAUGAGAAAUCAAAGCAUUUGGGUUCCGGGGGGAGUAUGGUCGCAAGGCUGAAACUUAAAGGAAUUGACGGGAGGGCACCACCAGGAGUGGAGCCUGCGGCUUAAUUUGAUUCAACA
RNAcentral lists this ribosomal RNA (579 nucleotides) under uncultured marine eukaryote. Its description in RNAcentral is "SSU rRNA". It matches the Rfam family "Eukaryotic small subunit ribosomal RNA", at positions 613 to 1205 of the family's 1831-position model. The record is from RNAcentral.